CCUCUCAUAGCUCAGUUGGAAGAGCGAAGCAUUGUAAUCCCCUCGACCCGUAUUCAACGGGUCACUUUUCAGACUGCUUAGGUCGCCCGUUCGAUCCGGGCUGAGAGGA
Non-coding RNA from Naganishia vaughanmartiniae, 109 nucleotides. The record is from the annotation of a GenBank genome assembly. Lineage: Eukaryota; Fungi; Basidiomycota; Tremellomycetes; Filobasidiales; Filobasidiaceae.